This 523-nucleotide ribosomal RNA is filed under the name uncultured bacterium. RNAcentral's name for it is "partial 16S ribosomal RNA". It matches the Rfam family "Bacterial small subunit ribosomal RNA", at positions 344 to 864 of the family's 1533-position model. The record is from RNAcentral.
GGAGGCACCAGUGGGAUUUUUGCCCAAGGGGGGAAACCUUGUUCCACCAAUCCCGGGUGUGUGAAGAAGCCUUGCGGGUUUUAAACCAUUUUCUGUGGGGAGGAAACCCUAGGGGUUAUAUCCCCGUGGCUUGGCGGUUCCCUCCGGAGGAGGCCCCGGUUAAUUCUUUGCCACCACCGCCGUUAUUACGGGGGGGCCAGGCGUUAUUCGGAAUUAUUGGGGUUAAAGGGGGGUUGGGGGGUUUGUUAAUUCGGAGGUGAAACCCCCGGGUUUACCCUGGGAAUGCCUUUGGAUAUUCCCGGCUUGGAUUUUGGUGGGGGAAAUGGAAUUUCCGGGGGUGGGGGGGAAAUGGUUGGUUUUUGGGGGGACCCCCGUGGGGGAGGGGGGUUUCUGGUCCAAUAUUGCCCUUGGGGUCGGAAACCGUGGGGGCCAACCGGGUUUGGAUCCCCGGUUUGUCCCCCCCUUAAAGAUUGUCACUUGGAUUGGGGGCGUUUAACCUUUAGUGUCGCAGCUAACGCGUAAG